RNAcentral lists this ribosomal RNA (552 nucleotides) under Saturnispora silvae. RNAcentral describes it as "eukaryotic LSU rRNA". It matches the Rfam family "Eukaryotic large subunit ribosomal RNA", at positions 62 to 658 of the family's 3401-position model. The record is from RNAcentral. Lineage: Eukaryota; Fungi; Ascomycota; Pichiomycetes; Pichiales; Pichiaceae.
AAACCAACGGGGGAUUGCCUCAGUAGCGGCGAGUGUAGCGGCCAAAAGCUCCAUUUUGAAAGCUCUUCGGAGCGUUGUAGAUUGGUGGGAAGCUAACGGCUGGUGGGAGACCAAGUCCUCUGGAACGAGGCGCCAUAGAGGGUGAGAGCCCCGUGUGUCUCCUUUACCGACCUUUCAGCCCCCUCCGCGGAGUCGAGUUGUUUGGGAAUGCAGCUCUAAGCGGGUGGUAAAUUCCAUCUAAGGCUAAAUAUUGGCGAGAGACCGAUAGCGAACAAGUACAGUGAUGGAAAGAUGAAAAGCACUUUGAAAAGAGAGUGAAACAGUACGUGAAAUUGUUGAAAGGGAAGGGUAUUUGGCCCGACAUGGGUCCUAUGCACCGUUGCCUCUCGUGGGCGGCGCUCUGCUUGGGCCUGGGCCAGCGUCAGUUUGGAGGGGGCGAGAAGGGUUUUGGGGAGUUGCCUAGCAAUUCCCCUUUGCUAGAUUGCCCCACACCGGACUGAGGACCGCCAUCUGUAGGAUGCUGGCACAACGGCCAAAUACCCCCGUCUGAAA